CAAUUCUCAAAGGAGCCUCCC
Molecule: microRNA, 21 nt
Filed under: Homo sapiens (human)
Lineage: Eukaryota; Metazoa; Chordata; Mammalia; Primates; Hominidae
Description: hsa-miR-5571-5p
Source: miRBase by way of RNAcentral